CACAAAUAGCCGAUGUGAUUUUACAACUAAGAUGCUACACCAUCUCUGGGAGUACUGUGGACUCAGGGAGGCCCUGAGAAACUCAGAAUUCAUGACCAGUGGAACUCAAGACAUCUUGAAUGAGAAUAAUAUGAAUCACGGAAAGCUCCAUGCACUGUGGGGCCCCCUGUGAGUGCAGGGGAGGUGGCCCCCUCCUUCCUGGAGCAGCUGGGUGGAUUCUCACUGAGGCCAGCCGUCCAUCAACCUGACUUCUUCCGGCUUCCUCUGCACAACGGCUCCCUAGAGCCCCCGUGAGACACUCCAGGAACCAGCUGCCUGUCAGGCACCUUAUUAAACUCAUUUCCAGAUGUCUCCACCUCAGCCCGAGGAAGCAGGAGGAGAGUGAAGGGUGGGAGUUUGUCCCUUAAGUGAAAUCAGCUGGGUCCAUAAUAAAUAAUGUUUUGUAUUGAUGCAGCAGGUGCCAUGGAAGGUGGCAUGAUGCGGAAGACAUCCUCAGUGAGGCCAUGUGUGAGGAAGAGAGAGGCUAACAAACAGACCAGACCAUUUAGGCAAGGGAGGAGAGCUAGUUGGACAACUAGAGGUGGAAUUGGGGUGGGGAAGAUCUGCAAUUGUGAAUGUAUGAGAAAAACAGGAAGGAGAGAGAAAAGAAAGCUGAACGGGGAGAUGGGGACAGAGGCCAAGACAGAGUUGUUGUGCCUAAAAUUUUCCAUUGUGCUGGUCUGCCAGGGUCUGUGUCAUUCACAACAGCUUAUAAAAUCCACAGCUAACCUUGGGCCUUCCGGUGCACCAAGCCUGGUGCUUUAUAGACAGCAGCUCGUCAACAACUUCAGGAGGGAGCUACUGUGAUUUUACCAUUUACAGACAAAGAAAGCGAGGCUCAGACAAUUUAGAGAACUUGCUCAAAGUCACUCCAUGGAACUAGGGAAGUCUGGCACCCAUGCUUGUACCCUUAGCCAUCCUACUCUCCUUCAUGGUGGAAUUUGGAGAAACAAUCUUUCCAGGCAGAGAUCUUUUCACUGUUGAUUGGCACAUACUUGUGAGACUUAUCUGAACAUGAGUUCAGGCAGAGAGAUAGAGGAAGAAAUAGGAACACAUCCUUUCUUCCAAGCACUUAUUUUGAGUGGUAUUGUUGUGGGGAAUAUGAAAUAUGAUUUCUCAACUUGUUAACUGUAUGAUAUGCUGAGUUUUUGUUUUUUAGAAACCAAAGAAUGAGUCUUAGGAACAACGGAGGUUAAAAGUAGGAAGAUAUUUAUGGAUAGGAAAGCUUCUGAGGGUCAGGAGGAGUCCUGAGUGGGUAACCAAGGGCCCCACUUUAUAGAGAAGUUUUAUAGGGUGAAACCCAUGUGGGUAUCAUGUGGGCCACAGCCAUGAACAUCCAAUAAGGUUACAAGUAUAGUCACUUAGAUAAUGGCGGUCCAAUUGGAAAGCAAGUCACAUAACAAGUGUGGAUGGAAAGAACAAGGAUUUUCCUAGGAGGUGGUGGGUCCAGAGCUCUCUGGUCACCCCCGGGGUGGUUGAUGCCUGUGUAGACUUCACUAAGCCCAGUUCUUUGAAGAAGUAGGUGGGUCUGGUCAUCUUGUCUCCAUCUUGAGGCCUGGUUUUUAGCCGAUGUGCAGCUGUGGUGUGUUUUACCUUUGUCCUGGCCCUCUCCAGGACUUAGCCCUAUCUGACUGCCUAUAAUAUUUCAGCCCAGCUUAUCUAUCUAUAAUAGUAUCACUGGCCAGUUGGAUGGGCUUGUUUUUCUCUAGCUCAUGACUGAAUGGACUACUGUGGGUGCCUCUUUUUGGCUCAGUCAUUAAAAGGAACAUUUUUACCUACAUGAGAACCACAGGUAUAUUAGUUGCCUGGGGCUGCCAUAACAAAUUAUCUCUGAAUUAGCAAAAAGUGAUAGUUAUUCUCUCACAGCUUUGGAGGCCAGAAGUCUGAAUUUGAAGUGUUGACAGGACCGAGCUUCUCUGAAGGCUCUAGGGAAGAAUCUUCCCUUAUCCUUUCCUAGCUUUUUGUGGCUUCUGACAAUUCUUGGUGCCUUUUGGCUUGGAGGAACAGCAUUCCAGCCUCUGCUUUUGUGAUCACAAGGACUUCCUCCUUCUGUCUCCUCUCUGACUCUGCAUCUACAUCUUCCUCUCCUUUUUCUUAUGAAGUCAUCAGUCAUGGGAUUACAGGUGACUCUAAUCCAGAAUUACAUUAUUUGAUAUUAAUUACAUCUGCAAAUAUCCCGUUUUCAAAAAAAGUUAUAUUCACAAGCACUAGGGGUUAAGAUUUGAAGAUAAUUUUGGGGGUAAGAUACAAUACAACCCACUACAAUGGGAAUAUAUAAAAAGUUGGGAUGAUAAAAAAGGGCAAAACCAAAUUCCAAAGGACCAGUGUGUGGCAUAUUAGUAUUCAGGCAUUCCACUCAAGAAAUGGAAUUUUAACCUAAGAUUUAUACCUUCUCCUUAAUCCUUGGUCUCCUCACUUACUCAUGUGUUGCUAUCUGUCCCCCUCCACCUCCCAGACACCAUCCCUAAGAUUUUAGAAUACCACCAAGUUUUGGAGUUGGAAUGCUUCUCAUAUUAUUUGAAAUUCCCAAAAGGACAGAUAUUGGGGGCAAAUACUUUUGUUUUACCCAGAGAGGCAGAACUGACUCUUGUCCUUUAUCCAGGCUUCAUUUCUUAGAUUAGAGCUAUCUAUCUAGCCGGUGUGAGAAUUGUAGUAAAG
RNAcentral lists this long non-coding RNA (2697 nucleotides) under Heterocephalus glaber (naked mole-rat). RNAcentral's name for it is "lncRNA (ENSHGLG00000049234.1)". The record is from RNAcentral. Lineage: Eukaryota; Metazoa; Chordata; Mammalia; Rodentia; Bathyergidae.